This 915-nucleotide non-coding RNA is filed under the name Hydromantes brunus (limestone salamander). Lineage: Eukaryota; Metazoa; Chordata; Amphibia; Caudata; Plethodontidae. The record is from RNAcentral.
AAAAGGUUUGGUCCUGACCUUAAUAUUAAUUAGAACUAAAUUUAUACAUGCAAGCCUCCACACUCCUGUGAAAACGCCCAUAAUUCCCUUUCAAAAACAAAGGAGCUGGUAUCAGGCACCAAAAAGCCCAUAACACCUCAUUGAAUCACACCUACACAGAAAUUCAGCAGUAAUAUACAUUAAACCAUGAGUGAAAACUUGAUUUAGUGAUAGUUUGUUAAAGUCGGUAAACCUCGUGCCAGCCACCGCGGUUAUACGAAGGACUUAAAUUAAUAUUAGCAGCCCAAAGGGUGGUUUAAUAUGUUACAUAAUAAAAUUAAAAAAGUUUUUGGCUGUCAUACGCAAAAUAAUCAUAAAUUCAAAAACGAAAGUUAUUUUAUACAUAAUUGAAUCUACGACAGUUAAGAAACAAACUAGGAUUAGAUACCCUACUAUGCUUUAUUUUAAACUUUGGAGCCCCUCGCUAGAGUACUACAAGCUGUAGCCUAAAACUCAAAGGACUUGGCGGUGCUUUACUCCCACCUAGAGGAGCCUGUUCUAUAAUCGAUAAUCCCCGCUAAACCUCACCUUUUUUUGCUAAUUCAGCCUAUAUACCACCGCCUCAGCUUACCACCUAAGAGAACAAAAGUAAGCAAAAUAAUUCUAAAUAAAAAAGUCAGGUCAAGGUGUAGCAUAUAAAAUGGAAAGAGAUGGGCUACAUUUUUAAAAUUAAAAACACGGAAUAUGAUAUGAAAUAAAAUAUAAAGGAGGAUUUAGAAGUAAAAAGAAAAAAGAGUGUUCUUUUUAAAUUGGCAAUAAAGCGCGCACACACCGCCCGUCACCCUCUUUAAAAAAUAACAAGUUAAAUAAAUAUAACAGCUCAUAAAAAGAGGAAAGUCGUAACAUGGUAAGUCUACCGGAAGGUGGCCUUGGAUA